Andrographis paniculata is the source of this 905-nucleotide long non-coding RNA. RefSeq lists it as uncharacterized. The record is from RefSeq and is a predicted model, not a curated record. NCBI's taxonomy places the organism in Eukaryota, Viridiplantae, Streptophyta, Magnoliopsida, Lamiales, Acanthaceae. The transcript is spliced from 2 exons.
CACUGCUCAAUACUCAUUAACGAAUAGAUAUGUUCGUAUAAUAAGAUUAGUGAUAAAUAAGAAUAAGUUGAAAUGUCGAUGGUUGAGAAAUGCAUCACAUGAUGCGAUUGGACGAUUCGAAUGUGCUCUGGCUUGAUCUUCUACAGCUUGUAUCUUGUGAAUUUGCUGAUGGGCUGUAAAUUGAUAGCCAAGUGCAUACAAUUGCUGUGCUUGAUGCUUCCCAUCAGUUGCUUCGGCAUUCCAAUUUAUAAGAGAAAUUUCAAGAAGAAUGUUUAGGCCUGAGUAAUAAACUUGCAGUGGCAACAAUGGCGAACAUGUUUAAUUCAGGGAACAGAGGAACAAGGACUCGCAAGUACAUAUUCAUGGUGGGGGGUCUCUGUUUUUUCUUCUACAUAUUAGGAGCGUGGCAGAGGGGUGAGUUUGGGAAAGGGGACACCAUUGCAAUGGCUGGGACAGCCAUGAUCGGUGCAAGCUGCAAGAUUCUUCCAAACCUCGAUUUCAAACUGCAUUAUGGCAGUGUAACUGAGGAUUCUAAAGUGACAGUGUAUGAGCAUGCUACACCGAUCACUCGAACCCUGCCAAGAUCAGAAAGAGGAUUGAUUGGAAUCUACCAUGACUUUGAUCAGACACCGGGACUCUGACAAGAAGGCGUGAUCGCCCCGAUUCGAAAGCUAUUACAGUAUAAGCAAGCAGUCUCAAAUCUUUACAUUAGAAAGCUAUUUCAUUUCUGGUAAUGAUACAGUACAAUAAAAGUCUGCUAAAUUGUGUCUUCAAUGGACAAGCUUCAUCAUUCCCUCGGACAAUAUAUAUGUAUGUGUAUAUAUAAUAAAAAGCAAGGUAACUUUAAAACGUCUCAUAUAUGGGUAUAUAUAUAUAUAUAUAUAUACUUGAUAGUCAUGAAAUCA